Molecule: ribosomal RNA, 484 nt
Filed under: uncultured bacterium
Lineage: Bacteria
Description: partial 16S ribosomal RNA
Rfam family: Bacterial small subunit ribosomal RNA
Source: RNAcentral
AUUGAACGCUGGCGGCAGGCCUAACACAUGCAAGUCGAGCGGAUGAAGGGAGCUUGCUCCUGGAUUCAGCGGCGGACGGGUGUGUAAUGCCUAGGAAUCUGCCUGGUAGUGGGGGAUAACGUCCGUAAACGGGCGCUAAUACCGCAUACGUCCUGUGUGUGAAAGUGUGGGAUCUUCGGACCUCACGCUAUCAGAUUAGCCUAGGUCGGAUUAGCUAGUUGGUGGGGUAAAGUCCUACCAAGGCGACGAUCCGUAACUGGUCUGAGAGGAUGAUCAGUCACACUGGAAGUGAGACACGGUACAGAGUCCUACGGGAGGCAGCAGUGGGGAAUAUUGGACAAUGGGCGAAAGCAUGAUCCAGCAAUGCCGCGUGUGUGAAGAAGGUCUUCGGAUUGUAAAGCACUUUAAGUUGGGAGGAAGGGCAGUAAGUUAAUACCUUGCUGUUUUGACGUUAACAACAGAAUAAGCACCGGCUAACUUCGUG